UACUUAGGUAGCGAGCGUUAUCCGGAAUGACUGGGCGUAAAGGGAGCGUAGGUGGUUAAUUAAGUCUUUUGUGAAAGCCCUCGGCUCAACUGGGGGACUGCAGGAGAUACUGGAUAACUAGAGUGUGAGAGAGGCAAGUGGAAUUCCUAGUGUAGCGGUAGAAUGCGUAGAGAUUAGGAGGAACACCAGAGGCGAAGGCGGCUUGCUGGCUCAUAACUGACACUGAGGCUCGAAAGCGUGGGGAGCAAAC
Molecule: ribosomal RNA, 250 nt
Filed under: uncultured prokaryote
Description: partial 16S ribosomal RNA
Rfam family: Bacterial small subunit ribosomal RNA
Source: RNAcentral